RNAcentral lists this ribosomal RNA (579 nucleotides) under fungal endophyte. RNAcentral describes it as "eukaryotic LSU rRNA". The stretch from base 187 to 340 matches the Rfam family "5.8S ribosomal RNA". The record is from RNAcentral. Lineage: Eukaryota; Fungi.
CAUUACGAAAGGAGUACUCGUACUCUUAAACCCUUUGUGAACAUACCAUCCGUCAGUUGCUUCGGCGGGAGGCCCCUGGGAGGGGCCCCGGGGCCCGGCCUGAGCCGGGCUCCCGCCGGAGGAGCGCAAACCAAACUCUUGAUGUACACCAGUGGCACGUCCGGGUAAACAAAUAAAACAAGUUAAAACUUUCAACAACGGAUCUCUUGGUUCUGGCAUCGAUGAAGAACGCAGCGAAAUGCGAUAAGUAAUGUGAAUUGCAGAAUUCAGUGAAUCAUCGAAUCUUUGAACGCACAUUGCGCCCGCCAGCAUUCUGGCGGGCAUGCCUGUUCGAGCGUCAUUUCAACCCCUCAGGCCCUGGUGCCUGGCGUCGGGGCUCUCCCGCCCAGCGGGAGGCCCCCAGAGACAGUGGCGGACCCGCCGCGGCUCCGAGCGCAGUAGUAAAAUUCUCGCUCAGGAGGUCCGCGGGGGGGCUCCCGGCCGUAAAACCAGGUCCCUCGCCCCCGGGCGUGGGCCUACUCCAAAGGUUGACCUCGGAUCAGGUAGGAAUACCCGCUGAACUUAAGCAUAUCAAUAAGC